GUCCACGCAAUAAAGCCGAUAUCAAGAGACGACCUGUGUCUGUGUUGUCUUGAAGAGAGCUACAGUCAUUGUGAAACGGUGCAGCACAGCACACAGUGACACAACGAAAUGUGUCCUCUGCUUUUAACCAUCAUCCUUGGCCUCAAGUGCUGGACAGGAGCUCCCUUCAUUUCUACCUCAGCAAGGAAGUUGGAAACAGGACAGGGUUCCAGAAGUCUCUCACCUCUUCUCUCAGUGCACACAACCAAACAUGAUCUCUGCAUUUAACCCAUUUUGUGUAGGAUCAGCAAACAGCUAUAAGUGGUGUUCAUGGAGCAAUGUAUGGGGGUGGCACCUUGCUUAAGGGGACCACAGUUGCCACAUGGCAGGUUGAUCAAUUUAAAAACUUGACCUUCUGAUUCUGCUUCCAGGCAACCACCGCCCAACACAAUCAUCUCAUAGGGUCUAGAAUUCCAUACACAGUACAUAUUGUUCUGUAUAUUCCAUACACAGUAACCACUUUGGUUGGAAGUAUAUGGAAUAGCACUAAAUUAAUAGUUUUAUAUUAGCUGACACUACACUCUUAACCCGGAUUUUGUCUAAACCAAAAAAUGUAAGCAGUCAUCACGUAUUCUUUAUUGUUUUUUUAAAAAAAGUUGUCACUGCUAAAAAGUAUUAGUUGUUUGCACUAUUUAGACAAAUAAUUGACUACACUGAUUAAGUUAAGAAGACAUCACUCAGUAUGUUACGUUUUUGAAAAGGGGGAGGGGCUUUUUGAAGCGGGUCGCUUGAGCAGAGAGCUGCAGCUGCCUCGAGAGACGCUCCAACGGUUAAUUUUUGAAAACAACGUGAAUCGGAUUUUUCGAGAGCUUUGCUGUAGACAAGUUCUGCAGGUUCUGCUUGGCAAAGAGGAGUGACAUCCAAGCCACAGAAGUCUCAUCAGGCCGCUUUGAACCCAGAACAAAAGAAAAUUACAACCAGCACGUGCUGGAGGUAUGUCGAGAUCCCAGUUUAGCUAAACAGUAUGGUGUAAAAGGUGAAUGUGUGUUGACCAGUAGUCUGCAGCAUUUUCAUGCUGUUCAUAGGUACCCCCCUGACAUUCUGCAUGACCUUUUUGAAGGCAUUGUUCCGGUUGAGUUAUCACUUUGCAUUUCAGACCUGAUUGCGAAGAAAUAUUUCAGCUUAGAGAUGCUGAACCAUGCUAUCAAAACAUUUCCAUAUGCCUUAAAUGAUUCCACAGACCAGCCCCAGCC
This is a long non-coding RNA of Denticeps clupeoides (denticle herring), 1232 nucleotides long. NCBI's taxonomy places the organism in Eukaryota, Metazoa, Chordata, Actinopteri, Clupeiformes, Denticipitidae. The record is from Ensembl.